UGGGGAAUUUUGGACAAUGGGGGAAACCCUGAUCCAGCCAUCCCGCGUGUGCGAUGAAGGCCUUCGGGUUGUAAAGCACUUUGGGCAGGAAAGAAACGUCAUGGGUUAAUACCCCGUGAAACUGACGGUACCUGCAGAAUAAGCACCGGCUAACUACGUGCCAGCAGCCGCGGUAAUACGUAGGGUGCAAGCGUUAAUCGGAAUUACUGGGCGUAAAGCGUGCGCAGGCGGUUCGGAAAGAAAGAUGUGAAAUCCCAGAGCUCAACUUUGGAACUGCAUUUUUAACUACCGGGCUAGAGUGUGUCAGAGGGAGGUGGAAUUCCGCGUGUAGCAGUGAAAUGCGUAGAUAUGCGGAGGAACACCGAUGGCGAAGGCAGCCUCCUGGGAUAACACUGACGCUCAUGCACGAAAGCGUGGGGAGCAAACAGG
RNAcentral lists this ribosomal RNA (429 nucleotides) under Acidobacteriota bacterium. Its description in RNAcentral is "Acidobacteria bacterium partial 16S ribosomal RNA". It matches the Rfam family "Bacterial small subunit ribosomal RNA", at positions 355 to 776 of the family's 1533-position model. The record is from RNAcentral. Lineage: Bacteria; Pseudomonadati; Acidobacteriota.